Molecule: ribosomal RNA, 426 nt
Filed under: uncultured bacterium
Lineage: Bacteria
Description: bacterial SSU rRNA
Rfam family: Bacterial small subunit ribosomal RNA
Source: RNAcentral
GACGAACACUGGCGACGUGCUUUCGUAUGCAAGUAGAACGGGCUCCUUCGGGAGCUAGUUGCGAACGGCUGAGUAAUAGAUAGGAACCUACCCUUUAGUGAGGAAUACCUCGGAGAAAUCCGGGUUAAUACCGCAUGAGACCUACGGGUGAAAGGGCGUAACUGCCCGCUAAUGGAUGGGCCUAUUUUCUAUCAGUUAGUUGGUGUGGUGAUGGCGCACCAAGACUGCGACGGAUAGGGGGCGUGAGAGCGUGAUCCCCCAGAAUGGUACUGAGACACGGACCAUACACCUNACGGGUGGCGCAACCAGGAAUCGUGCGCAAUGGGCGAAAGCCUGACGCCGCGACGUCGUGUGAGGGAUGAAGGCCUAUGGGUUGUAAACCUCUUUUAGUUGAGUCGAGAGGCUCUUCAGAAUAAGCACCGCUAA